Molecule: ribosomal RNA, 492 nt
Filed under: uncultured bacterium
Lineage: Bacteria
Description: partial 16S ribosomal RNA
Rfam family: Bacterial small subunit ribosomal RNA
Source: RNAcentral
AGUGAACGCUGGCGGUAGGCCUAACACAUGCAAGUCGAGCGGCAGCACAGUAAGAGCUUGCUCUUACGGGUGGCGAGUGGCGGACGGGUGAGGAAUACAUCGGAAUCUACUUUUUCGUGGGGGAUAACGUAGGGAAACUUACGCUAAUACCGCAUACGACCUACGGGUGAAAGCAGGGGAUCUUCGGACCUUGCGCGAUUGAAUGAGCCGAUGUCGGAUUAGCUAGUUGGCGGGGUAAAGGCCCACCAAGGCGACGAUCCGUAGCUGGUCUGAGAGGAUGAUCAGCCACACUGGAACUGAGACACGGUCCAGACUCCUACGGGAGGCAGCAGUGGGGAAUAUUGGACAAAGGGCGCAAGCCUGGUCCAGCCAUACCGCGUGGGUGAAGAAGGCCUUCGGGUUGUAAAGCCCUUUUGUUGGGAAAGAAAAGCAGCAGGUUAAUACCCCGCUGUUCUGACGGUACCCAAAGAAUAAGCACCGGCUAACUUCGUG